UACGAGGGGGGCGAGCGUUGUUCGGAAUUAUUGGGCGUAAAGGGUGCGUAGGCGGUUUGGUAAGUCUUGUGUGAAAUCUACAGGCUCAACUUGUAGUCUGCACGAGAAACUGCCGGGCUUGAGUAUGGGAGAGGUGAGUGGAAUUCCUGGUGUAGCGGUGAAAUGCGUAGAUAUCAGGAGGAACACCUGUGGCGAAAGCGGCUCACUGGACCAUAACUGACGCUGAGGCGCGAAAGCUAGGGGAGCAAACAGG
Molecule: ribosomal RNA, 253 nt
Filed under: uncultured bacterium
Lineage: Bacteria
Description: partial 16S ribosomal RNA
Rfam family: Bacterial small subunit ribosomal RNA
Source: RNAcentral